CUAAAAUAUGCAGGCCUAAUAAUUUCCACGAUUUCUUAUGCUUUGCCUCUCGAUAAGCGCAUGCGCACACACAGCAUACCCAUCCCCCACCCCUGACUGACUUUUCAACGAACUCCUUGCCACUGGUGGUGACUUCAACCGUCACUUUUCUGUCAUGCAUCUGACUGCAAGCUGUACAAACUCUGCUGUCAUCAUAUCCAAGGCAGUGAGUUGUGAGGACUGCUUCCCUGAGAACACUGAGUGCAUUCUGGAAUAUUCCAAAUGUGUGCCACUUCCAUACAAAAGAAGUUUCAAUCCCGCAAGAGAGUUCACUCACCAGUGGGCUCCAUCAACAGACCAGGGCAAAGUCGGUCUGUCCUGCUACUACUACAUGCUACUUGACUAUGUCUGGAAGCCAUGGCUGCUGCCCUCAACAUGCUAAACUGAAACCCUCACAAAUAAACUGAUAUCAAUAAUUAACAUUGAUGGUGAUGGUGGCGAGGGUGCCUUCAUAAGGUGUCAUCCAGCAAGUCCCAGCCUGGAGCCAGAGGCUGGCACUGCACGUCAGAUGGGGGAGGAUCUAUGUUAGGCAUCAGAAAGGUGGUUUAAGCACCUCUAAGAGCUUCUGCAGACAGUGUUGCAAUUAGACACCUGACUUUUACUGCCAAAGGGACCAUCAGAGCACCUCUCCCUACCAUCUAUACCAGAAGAGUACGGACAAGGGCCCAAAAUGUUUUAAAGGACGUUGCAAGCCCAGACCAUGAACUGUUUAAACCACUGUGGUCAAGCAGAAGUCUCUGUUCUCAC
This is a long non-coding RNA of Alosa sapidissima (American shad), 786 nucleotides long. RefSeq lists it as uncharacterized. The transcript has 6 exons. Lineage: Eukaryota; Metazoa; Chordata; Actinopteri; Clupeiformes; Clupeidae. The record is from RefSeq and is a predicted model, not a curated record.